RNAcentral lists this ribosomal RNA (253 nucleotides) under uncultured bacterium. Its description in RNAcentral is "partial 16S ribosomal RNA". It matches the Rfam family "Bacterial small subunit ribosomal RNA", at positions 524 to 776 of the family's 1533-position model. The record is from RNAcentral.
UACGGGGGGGGCAAGCGUUGUUCGGAAUUACUGGGCGUAAAGGGCUCGUAGGUGGCCAACUAAGUCAGACGUGAAAUCCCUCGGCUUAACCGGGGAACUGCGUCUGAUACUGGAUGGCUUGAGUUUGGGAGAGGGAUGCGGAAUUCCAGGUGUAGCGGUGAAAUGCGUAGAUAUCUGGAGGAACACCGGUGGCGAAGGCGCCGCUCUGGGCCGAAACUGACGCUGAGGAGCGAAAGCGUGGGUAGCAAACAGG